GAUGAACGCUUGCUACAGGCUUAACACAUGCAAGUCGAGGGGCAGCAUGGUCUUAGCUUGCUAAGGCCGAUGGCGACCGGCGCACGGGUGAGUAACACGUAUCCAACCUGCCGUCUACUCUUGGACAGCCUUCUGAAAGGAAGAUUAAUACAAGAUGGCAUCAUGAGUCCGCAUGUUCACAUGAUUAAAGGUAUUCCGGUAGACGAUGGGGAUGCGUUCCAUUAGAUAGUAGGCGGGGUAACGGCCCACCUAGUCUUCGAUGGAUAGGGGUUCUGAGAGGAAGGUCCCCCACAUUGGAACUGAGACACGGUCCAAACUCCUACGGGAGGCAGCAGUGAGGAAUAUUGGUCAAUGGGCGAGAGCCUGAACCAGCCAAGUAGCGUGAAGGAUGACUGCCCUAUGGGUUGUAAACUUCUUUUAUAAAGGAAUAAAGUCGGGUAUGGAUACCCGUUUGCAUGUACUUUAUGAAUAAGGAUCGGCUAACUCCGUGCCAGCAGCCGCGGUAAUACGGAGGAUCCGAGCGUUAUCCGGAUUUAUUGGGUUUAAAGGGAGCGUAGAUGGAUGUUUAAGUCAGUUGUGAAAGUUUGCGGCUCAACCGUAAAAUUGCAGUUGAUACUGGAUAUCUUGAGUGCAGUUGAGGCAGGCGGAAUUCGUGGUGUAGCGGUGAAAUGCUUAGAUAUCACGAAGAACUCCGAUUGCGAAGGCAGCCUGCUAAGCUGCAACUGACAUUGAGGCUCGAAAGUGUGGGUAUCAAACAGGAUUAGAUACCCUGGUAGUCCACACGGUAAACGAUGAAUACUCGCUGUUUGCGAUAUACAGCAAGCGGCCAAGCGAAAGCGUUAAGUAUUCCACCUGGGGAGUACGCCGGCAACGGUGAAACUCAAAGGAAUUGACGGGGGCCCGCACAAGCGGAGGAACAUGUGGUUUAAUUCGAUGAUACGCGAGGAACCUUACCCGGGCUUAAAUUGCAGAUGAAUUACGGUGAAAGCCGUAAGCCGCAAGGCAUCUGUGAAGGUGCUGCAUGGUUGUCGUCAGCUCGUGCCGUGAGGUGUCGGCUUAAGUGCCAUAACGAGCGCAACCCUUGUUGUCAGUUACUAACAGGUUCCGCUGAGGACUCUGACAAGACUGCCAUCGUAAGAUGUGAGGAAGGUGGGGAUGACGUCAAAUCAGCACGGCCCUUACGUCCGGGGCUACACACGUGUUACAAUGGGGGGUACAGAGGGCCGCUACCACGCGAGUGGAUGCCAAUCCCCAAAACCUCUCUCAGUUCGGACUGGAGUCUGCAACCCGACUCCACGAAGCUGGAUUCGCUAGUAAUCGCGCAUCAGCCACGGCGCGGUGAAUACGUUCCCGGGCCUUGUACACACCGCCCGUCAAGCCAUGGGAGCCGGGGGUACCUGAAGUGCGUAACCGCGAGGAGCGCCCUAGGGUAAAACUGGUGACUGGGGCUAAGUG
RNAcentral lists this ribosomal RNA (1455 nucleotides) under uncultured organism. RNAcentral's name for it is "SSU rRNA". It matches the Rfam family "Bacterial small subunit ribosomal RNA". The record is from RNAcentral.